CAGGAUCACGCCCUGGGCCAAAGGCAGGCGCUAAACCACUGCGCUACCCAGGGAUCCCAAGCAGCUGUAGUUCACUGCUGCUUUCUAUGUUUUGAAACUAUGAGCAUGUUUAAAGGGGGCUUGAGAAACACUCGACUGGUGGCUGCAGGGAUUUCUGCAGAAGGGUUCCAAGGAGCCAAAAGCAUCACGGGCCCCUGUCCUGUCCCUCAGAACAGUGGAAUGGUCAUUACCUGAACUACAGUCGACGUCAGCGGCUGGGGAGGUCCUCAGAGCAUGAGCAGCUCCUCUUAGGUAAUAUGGAGUAAGGAAGCCCAGUGGCUUCGGAGCCAAACCCUAAAGCGGAUGUGAACUUGUCAGGGAAGCCAAGGAGGUUUUUAGAGGGUGAUGUCACAACUGACCAGAGUUCACCUCAGUUACAUGGUCACCGGGUCACAAUUCUGAGGUAUGGCUGGGGUACAGCCUCGAAGCCAGAGAGCAGGAAGGAGCGAGGGAGGACAGGACAUGGAGACAGAAGGAAAAACAAGAAAGUGAAGGAGAUGUAGGAAGUGACACACAGGAGCCUGGGACGGGUGCCCUGGCUUCUGUCCUCAGAGCCAGCUGUUCAGGGGCAGAGAAGGUGACAGCUGUCCCAUGGAGAGAGAAGCCGAGAUCCACAGUGAAUCCUGAGGCUGAGGGUGGGAGUUCACUGGCUUCCGGCCAAGGAGCUCCUGGCAGGCAUCUCCUCAGGGUGGACAGAGCUGCACUCACCACCAAGGAUGCUGUCAUGGAGUUGGCGAGCAACGGGUCUAGCUCCACUGAUGGCUCCCCUACUGAGGAAAUGAGGCUCCGCUCAACACUGACUUCAUCCACCAACCCCACCUGGAUCUCCGUUCUUUUGGAAUUGCCCCCAGAGUCUGCUCAGCAUUCUUGAAAAUGUUCUUCAAAGGUUGCUAGUUCUCAUCGUUGGAGGGUUGAUCUGAUAUUUAGAAGCAUUUUAAAGCCAUUUGAGGCCAAUCCCAGGGAAUUAGGUGAGUAAUCAAACUGGGUAAUAGGAUUUUUCGGUCAAUAACGAGGUGGGGUGGAGUGGUUUAUUUUUUUUCCAUGUGGCCCACACAAACGGACUCUGAAGGCAAUUCCAAAAGAGAUGCCACAAGGUACUUGAGCAAUGGCAGCUUCCCUGGAAUAGGAUGGAGCUUUCCAGUGGAAUGUCUUUGGAGUCCUAGUCUGUUUGCUGAAAAAACACAGUCAUUAUUUUAUAAUCACAUCUUGCAUAAACAUCAGCUUUUCUCUCCUGGCUCUGAAGCUGGC
This 1287-nucleotide long non-coding RNA is filed under the name Vulpes vulpes (red fox). RNAcentral's name for it is "lncRNA (ENSVVUG00000029244.1)". Lineage: Eukaryota; Metazoa; Chordata; Mammalia; Carnivora; Canidae. The record is from RNAcentral.